RNAcentral lists this long non-coding RNA (8088 nucleotides) under Triticum aestivum (bread wheat). RNAcentral's name for it is "long non-coding RNA (TAES_LNC006360)". Lineage: Eukaryota; Viridiplantae; Streptophyta; Magnoliopsida; Poales; Poaceae. The record is from RNAcentral.
UAGCAUGGUAGAAACUUAUGUCUACUCGUAUAUUUCUAGUAGCUAGUCCAAAUAGAUGUUGGUUUAUCAAGGUUCCAUGAAAACAUGAUGCAAACACUGCACUAGGAUCAAUUUAUUUCUUCCAUCAACAAUUAAUCAUUGGCUAGCACACCAUAAAGACUUGGUAAAAAAGUACAAAUACAGAGACACGCAUAUGCGUGAGAUCUAUUAAGCAGUGACAGCUAUCUUCAUGCCUUGCUGGCAGUGACCCGGAAGGCUGCAGAUGAAGAACGCUUUGCCUCUGCGGGCGAGCUGGAUGUGGUCAUUGCCGGAGGUGUAGGUCCUCGACGGGCCCGAGACCCUGCAUGAGUUGUAGUCGCUUUCUCCCACCUGCACCACGUUGUGCAUAGGGUUGUACUUGAACACUGCGUGCAUUAGUUAACACAAGAAUACAUAUCAGAACAUAAUAUAUACAUUAAGAACAACCAAUCACCUGAUCUUUAGAGUUCUCACCAAGCACGUCCCCGGACUGGAUGUGCUUGCCACCCUCCCAUCCGGAGACACCGAAGCUCCAUCCCUUGUUGUCACCAACGGUCCACUCCUUGCCAUGGACGACGGUGGUUGCGCAGCAAACGACCAGAAGCGGCACCAAAAGGGUGGGUAUGAUGGUUCCCCGUGCCAUCGUUGGUGCUGCUCUUGACUUCUUGUCGCUACCGAAGAUUACAAGAACAACAAAAUGAAACAAUGGUCGGUUCUUCAAGUGAUUGCUUGCGUUUGGUCUCCUUCUCGUAUCAUAUAUAUAGCCAGUCAGCUAAAAUCGUUGUUUUAAUGUGCUCAAAUAAUGAGAAUCUUGCUUUAAAUGAGACAAAUAAAUAAUCGUGAUAUGCAAUGUUACUUAGUAUAUGCUACCAAAUCCUCCAACUUAUAUAAUCCGAUCUAGUAUUAAUGGAAAUUAACGAGAUGUAUUUAUUUUCCUGCUCUUAAGAUUUAGAAAAUAUUUCUUUUUCGUGGAUUCAUUAGUGGUAUAUCAGAUAUUUAUAUAUACUAGUAUUAGAUGAUAUAUUUGUAAUAGGAAAAUUCUAAAAUAAAAAAUAUUUUAAAUAAGGAGAAGUCCCUAAUCUAGAGUUUUCGACCAUAGCUGCUAAAGCUGUUGGGGAACCUUGCAUGGAAAACAAAAAAAAUUUACGCAUACGCAAGAUCUAUCCAUGGAGAUGCGUAGCUACGAGAGGGGGAGAGUAUCUUCAUACCCAUGAAGAUCGCUAAGAGAAAGCGUUUUUCAACGCGGUUGAUGUAGUCGUACACAUUCACGACCCAUCCCGAUCUGGUACCGAACGUAUGACACCUCCGCAUUCAGCACAUGUUUAGCUCGAUGACGUCCUUGCCUUCUCGAUCUAGGGCGUGGUGACGGUUGGUGAUGAAGAACAAUCUCCGUAGGGCUUUGCCAAGCACUACAGAAACUAGAUGGAGGAUAAACUAGAGGGGACAGGGUUGCCGACACACGGCUUGGUGAAAUGACUGAUGAAAUACCAUGCAAUUGUUUGAAAUGAAUGUUAAAAAGGAUAGAAGAAUUUGUCAAAAAAAUUUAGGGAGUUAAAUAUAGGGUUUGGUUAGGUUUGGCCACAAUUGAACUCCUUAAAUAUGAAGGAGUUAAGUUUAGAAAGGCAUAUAAGGAGAUACUCCCUAUGUUACUUUUUAUAAGGUGUGUUUGUUUUUUGAUAAAAUUCCACAAUGUAAGAUGCAUUUCUUCUAAUUCAUCCGAAAUUCCGUCUUCAACCCUCUAGAAAAAGGAUAGUAUCUUUCCCCUGAUUGCAUGUGUCUCUCCAUGUAAAAAAGGAAAGUAUCUCUCUCUCGAUUGCUUGUAUCUCUUAUUUUUCUAGCCUAAAUGAUUUACUUACCACUAAUCAAUGAUUUAGCCAAGGUUAAUUUUUUUCUAACUUGUGUAUAAUUAUGUGCCUUGGUCACCGUGCCUAAAAUUAUACACCUUACAUAGAGGAAUGAAGGGAGUAAUUAUAAAUGGUUGACUAGAGAUGCUCUUGGUGUUUGUUAAUAAGAUGGCAUAUUGGGUAGUUUCAAAGGAACUCUGAGGGCAGGGGGUAUGGUUCGUGAAGUGGAGCAGGUGAAGGAACCAUUUCUCUGCUCCAGUAAAAUAAAAUAGAUGCUACUCCAGCUCCAAUCCACUAAGAAAUCAAUGUUGAGCUGUUUGAAACAACUCUACUGAAAUCAUGGAGUGGAGCUGUCCAAAACCUACCCUAAAUCCGACAAGAACCAACUAGAAGCAUAUCCUAUAUGUGAAGGUCGCCCGUGUUACUGGAUUGGUGGAUCUAGUUUGUUAAAUUGACUCAACGACUAGGGCUCCGUGGCACUAGUCCUUAAGGGUGCGUGCACGAAGACUUCUCGGUUGUACUCGAAAAGGUUAGGCCAGUCCGACAAGCGGCAGGUGAGCGGCAUGUUCUGGCGGUAGUGACCGUUUGAUGGUCCAAGAACCUCUAUGUGAUGUUUAUUAUGUUUGAGAUGCUUUGAAAUUUUGGUGAACUAUUUUAAAAAAAGACUCCGAAUUCAAUUGACUGUGAUAGACCUUCAUAAUCUAUUGCCCUUAAUGUUCAAAGUAUGGUUGGUAGAAUGGUAGAAACUUAUGUCUACUCGUAUAUUUCUAGUAGCUAGUCCAAAUAGAUGUUGAUUUAUCAAGGUUCCACGAAAACAUGAUGCAAACACUGCACUAGGAUCAAUUUAUUUCUUCUAUGAUCAAUUCAUCAUGGGCUAGCACACCAUAAAGACUUGGUAAAAAACUACAAAUACAGAGACACACAUAUGCGCGAGAUCUAUUAAGCAGCGACAGCGAUCUUCAUGCCUUGCUGGCAGUGACCCGGAAGGCUGCAGAUGAAGAACGCUUUGCCUCCGUGGGCGAGCUGGAUGUGGUCAUUGCCGGAGGUGUAGGUCCUCGACGGGCCCGAGACCCUGCAUGAGUUGUAGUCGCCUUCUCCCACCUGCACCACGUUGUGCAUACUAGGGUUGUACUUGAACACUGCAUGCAUUAGUUAACACAAGAAUACAUAUCAGAACAUAGUAUAUGCAUCAAGAACGACCAAUCACUUGAUCUUUAGAGUUUUCGCCAAGCACGUCGCCGGACUGGAUGUGCUUGCCACUCUCCCUUCCGGAGACGCCGAAGCUCCAUCCCUUGUUGUCACCAACGGUCCACUCCUUGCCAUGGACGACGGUGGUUGCGCAACAAACGGCCAGAAGCAACACCAAAAGGGUGGGUACGAUGGUUCCCCGUGCCAUCGUUAGUGUUGCUCUUGGCUUCUUGUCGCUACCGAAGAUCACAAGAACAACAAAAUGAAACAAUGGUCGGUUACUCAAGUGAUUGCUUGCAUUCGGUCUCCUCGUAUCACAUAUAUAGCCGGUCAGCAAAAAUCAUUGUUUUAAUGUGCUGAAAUAAUGAGAAUCUUGCUUUAAAUGAGACAAAUCAACAAUUGUGAUAUGCAACGUUACUUACUAUAUGCUACCAAAUCCUCCAACUUAUAUAAUCCGAUCUAGUAUUAAUGGAAAUUAACAAGCAUGCAUUAAUUUUCCUACUCUGAAGAUUUAGAAAAUAUUUCUUUUUCAUGGAUGCAUUAGUUGUAUAUCAUGUAUUUACAUAUACUAGUAUUAGAUGAUAUAUUUGUAAGAGGAAAAUUCUGAAAUAAAAACUUUUUUAAUUAGGACAAUUCCCUAAUCUUGACUUUUCGACCAUAGCUGCUAAAGCAUGAUCAGAGACCUUGAUUUGGGAUUGUCUAGUCACAAAUCAUCUGAAAUUGAUAGGAAUAUUUUCAAUAAUUGUAGUUCAAAUGAAUUUCACAAGUCAGAAAAUUUAAUGCAUUGGGUCAAUAUAAGAAUUUUAGACUAGGUUAAUUUGGAAUUAUUCAAAAAGAAAAGUGGCCAUGAUUGGUCAACGAUGUAGUAAACUCGACGAGAUUCGGAAGGAACUAAUUGAGAGGAACAUUUGUGAGACUUACCAAGGACUUGUCGCCACUUGAGUCGACGAAGAUUAUGACCUCAAGGACGCCCCCCCGGAAAACUCCGCGACAACUCCAGACCAACAAAAUUUGCUCUAAACUAGCCAUCCUGGCACAAACAGGAAUGACAUGCACGAGAGGGGGUGGAGUUGUGCCCUGUGUACUUCGCUCACUAGACGAUCUAGUGGAGAAUAAGAGGAGGGCAUAACGGGGAGGCGAAGAGGGGAGGCAGGAGAGACAGAAGAUAGUCGAAGAAUGAGAGGAUUGUGAAUUUUCUUUUUCCUAUUUAGAAAGUAGCACUAGUCGUUAUGGUGUGUCACAUGGCCAUGUAUGUGCUUUUUGCAGUUCACCUUACUAUUACCAUUUUUUAUAAAACAUAAUGUACACAAUUCCGUAAAAAUGUUUGUAUUUGGAUACUUUUUCUAUAUAAAAACCAUUGAUGGUGUCGUAUAAGCUAAUUUUCAUUUUUGAAAUGUAUGUGUGUGCACACACGUUUGUUCUGGUAAAAUUUACAAGUCUGAUAUACAAAUGUAGUAAGCAAAUAAAAAAAAGAAUUGUUUGUACACACACAAGGUCCUUGUUGUGGAGAUUGCUUUGGAGACCUCUUGAACAUCACUAGUGUCCCGUUGAGAUGAAUAGUAGAGUUCAACAUAAAAGGAAACAAUUGUGUUUAAGGGAUCAUUGGCCAUUGCAUGUUAUUACAUUUUAAAAUCAUGGUCACAUGUAAUUAGCUUAAACUGAAAUAGUGGCAACAAAGCACUAAACCAAAGUUUAAUGAAUGAAUAUCCAAGUGUGUAUCGUCUGUCCUUUGCUUUUGACGCUUUGUUUUGCCUCAAAGUGUAUUUGAAUUAGCAUGGGCAUUUUAUAAUAUAUACUGUCAGUAGAGUGCCUCUGCUGAAGAACUGAACUUAACAAUCGAGACUAUAUAGAAGAUAGAAUAUCUCCCGUCGGGCGCGCCUAUAUCUCGCCUUCAGUGAGUCUCGCUGCGGACUCGCUGAAGGGCGAGCGAGCUGGGCCGGCCCACAAGCACCGGAGGCCAUUCUUUUUUUCCUUUUUUACAUUUUCUGUUUUCUUUUUUUUCUUUUGUACUUCUGUUUAUACUGUACAAUAUUAUAAAAAAUAUAUUACGAAAAACAAUCUUCAUUUUUUUUUGAAUAUAUUUAACAACUAUUUAAAAAUGUUGAACAAGUAUUAAAAACAUGUUGAAUAAGUAUUUGAAAAAAAUGUUGAUCAAGUAUUUGAAAACUGUUGAACAAGUAUUUGAAAAAUGUUGAGCAUGAAUGGAAAACAAGUUGAACAAACAUUUGAAAUAUAUAGAAUAAGUAUUUAAAAAAUGUUGAUCAAGUAUUUGAAAACAUAUUAAACAAAUAUUUGAAAAAAUGUUGAUAAUGUAUAUAAAAAAUGUUGAACAGCAAUUUGAGAAAAUGUUGAUCAUGUAUAUAAAAAUGUAGAAUGAAAAACACAAAGAAACAAAAGGAAAUCCGAAAAAAUGAAAACAGAAAAAUAAACAAAAUAAACCAAAGAAAAAGGAAAAUGAAAAGAAAACUAAAGAAACAAAUGAAAAAACCGGAGAAAAAAAUAGUUUUAUGUAAAAUAAUGAAGAAACAAAAGCAAAAUAAUGAAAAAAAUGGAGAAGAGAAAAGAAAAGAAAAGAAAAGAAAAGAAAGAAAACAAAAUGAAAAAAAGGAGAAAAUCGGCACGACUUGCUUCAUGUAGGCCAUGUCCUUUAUGUUAUUCCGAACUAUUGGGCAGGCACAUUGGAUAGUCGCGCUUCAUAUGUUCGCGGCGAUCCCUGGUGCUCCCCUUUUCCCUUCUAUUUUUCUUUAGACUCUGCGCGAAAAUGGACUACCCCAGUAAUGACCACAUCCAAGAAAACUUCGAUGCAAAACUUAGUCCGAGGACACGCUUAAUGCAAUAGAAUGUUGCAACCAAUUUCAAGAUGCAAAGAAAUUCAGAGGUCGACUGAUUUUGGGGAGACAACAAGACGGUCAGAAAUGGGCCUAAUGCAUUUCGGUUAGCGCAACAAAUCAUUACCUGGGCCAGGCCCAUCCUGCUAGUACUCUGUUGAAGGUACAAACUAUUCCAUUUCUGUGUCUAGAAAAACUAUUCCAUUUUCUACAGAGUUCCAUGUUUCCAAAUAAAAAUAAAUGACACUACAGUACUCUACUAAAGGGGUACCCUAUGCUAUGGCAUCAUGUAAUAUUUAUCCUGUUGUCGAUCCUGGCGGUACAGAAGUCAUGCAUGAUUCACUCAGAGUUCUAGCGCACCCGCAAGUUCCACCCGAAAAUUGAAAAACUACAUAGCACCCAAAAAUGAUUUCUUUGGUGGUGAUGAGCAUGCAAGUGCUUGAGUUCGUGUUUUUCUGGAUAGGGCUUGGUCCACGACAUAACGCAUGUUAUGUUGUAUUUUUUUGGAUCAAACUUAAUCGAUGUGGUAGUUUCUGGAUGAACUAUAUGCAUGUUUUAAUUUGAAUUAUUUGAUUGGAUGAACUAUAUGUAUGUUUAUGGUUGUUUUGUUGUGUACGUUGAAUUUAAAUCAUGCAAAUGAUUGAUGAAAUAUCAUGCAAUUGUUUGAAAUGAAUGUUAAAAAAGGUGGAAUAGUAAGUCAAAAAGAUUUUAGGGAGUUAAAUAUAGGGUUUGGUUGCACAACUUAACUCCUUAAAUAUGAAGGAGUUAAGUUUAGAAAGGCAUAUAUGGAGAUACUCCCUACGUUUAAUUUUUAUAAGGUGUAUUUGUUUUUUUAUAAAAUUCCACAAUGUAAGGUGCAUUUCUUUUAAUUCAUCAGAAAUUCUGUCUUCAGCCCUCUAGAAAAAAGGAUAGUAUCUCUCCCCUGAUUGCAUGUAUCUCUCUUUGUAAAAAAAGGAAAGUAUCUCUCUCCCGAUUGCGUGUAUCUCUUAUUUUUGUAGCCUAAAUGAUUUACUUACCACUAAUCAAUGAUUUAGCCAAGGUUAUUUUUUUCUAACUUGUGUAUAAUUAUGUGCCUUGGUCACCGUGCCAAAAAUUAUACACCUUACGUAAAUGAUUGAAGGGAGUAAAUUAUAAGUGGUUGACUAGAGAUGCUCUUGGUGUUUGUUAAUAAUAUGGCAUAUUGGGUAGUUUCAAAGGAACUCCGAGGGUAGAGGGGUAUGGUGGAUGAAGUGGAGCAGGUGAAGCAACCAUUUCUCUGCUCCAGUAAAAUGAAAUAGAUGCUACUCCAGCUCUAAUCCACUAAGAAAAUGAAGUUGAGCUGUUUGAAACAACUCUACUGAAAUCAUGGAGUGGAGUUGUCCAAAACCUACACUCAAUCCGACAAGAACCAACUAGGAGCAUAUCCUAUAUGAAGAUCGCCCGUGUUACUAGAUUGGUGGAUCUAGUUUGUUAAAUUGACUCGACGACUAGGGCUUCGGGGCACUAGUCCUUAAGGGUGCGUGCAUGAAGACUUCUCGGGUGUAAUUGAAAAGGUUUGUCCGGCUCCGACAAGUGGCGCGUGAGCGGCUCAUUCUGGCGGUAGUGGUCGUUUCAUGGUCCAAGAACCCCUAUGUAAUGUUUAUUAUGUUUGAAAUGCUUUGUACUUUUGGUGAACUAUUUUUAAAGAAGACUCCGAAUUCAAUUGACUGUGAUAGACCUUCAUAAUCAUUCGCCCUUAAUGUUCAAAGUAUGGUUGGUAGAAUGGUAGAAACUUAUGUCUACUCGUAUAUUUAUAGUAGCUAGUCCAAAUAGAUGUUGGUUUAUCAAGGUUCCAUGAAAACAUGAUGCAAAUACUGCACUAGGAUCAAUUUAUUUCUUCCAUCAGCAAUUCAUCAUUGGCUAGCACACCAUAAAGACUUGGUAAAAAGUACAAAUACAGAGACAUGCAUAUGCGCGAGAUCUAUUAAGCAGUGACAACUAUCUUCAUGCCUUGCUGGCAGUGACCCGGAAGGCUGCAGAUGAAGAACGCUUUGCCUCCGUGGGCGAGCUGGAUGUGGUCAUUGCCGGAGGUGUAGGUCCUCGACGGGCCCGAGACCCUGCAUGAGUUGUAGUCGCCUUCUCCCACCUGCACCACGUUGUGCAUACUAGGGUUGUACUUGAACACUGCGUGCAUUAGUUAACACAAGAAUACAGAUCAGAACACAGUAUAUACAUUAAGAACAACCAAUCAC